RNAcentral lists this ribosomal RNA (2156 nucleotides) under Escherichia coli KTE165. RNAcentral describes it as "bacterial LSU rRNA". It matches the Rfam family "Bacterial large subunit ribosomal RNA", at positions 793 to 2925 of the family's 2925-position model. Lineage: Bacteria; Pseudomonadati; Pseudomonadota; Gammaproteobacteria; Enterobacterales; Enterobacteriaceae. The record is from RNAcentral.
AAAAUUAGCGGAUGACUUGUGGCUGGGGGUGAAAGGCCAAUCAAACCGGGAGAUAGCUGGUUCUCCCCGAAAGCUAUUUAGGUAGCGCCUCGUGAAUUCAUCUCCGGGGGUAGAGCACUGUUUCGGCAAGGGGGUCAUCCCGACUUACCAACCCGAUGCAAACUGCGAAUACCGGAGAAUGUUAUCACGGGAGACACACGGCGGGUGCUAACGUCCGUCGUGAAGAGGGAAACAACCCAGACCGCCAGCUAAGGUCCCAAAGUCAUGGUUAAGUGGGAAACGAUGUGGGAAGGCCCAGACAGCCAGGAUGUUGGCUUAGAAGCAGCCAUCAUUUAAAGAAAGCGUAAUAGCUCACUGGUCGAGUCGGCCUGCGCGGAAGAUGUAACGGGGCUAAACCAUGCACCGAAGCUGCGGCAGCGACACUAUGUGUUGUUGGGUAGGGGAGCGUUCUGUAAGCCUGUGAAGGUGGCCUGUGAGGGUUGCUGGAGGUAUCAGAAGUGCGAAUGCUGACAUAAGUAACGAUAAAGCGGGUGAAAAGCCCGCUCGCCGGAAGACCAAGGGUUCCUGUCCAACGUUAAUCGGGGCAGGGUGAGUCGACCCCUAAGGCGAGGCCGAAAGGCGUAGUCGAUGGGAAACAGGUUAAUAUUCCUGUACUUGAUGUUACUGCGAAGGGGGGACGGAGAAGGCUAUGUUGGCCGGGCGACGGUUGUCCCGGUUUAAGCGUGUAGGCUGGUUUUCCAGGCAAAUCCGGAAAAUCAAGGCUGAGGCGUGAUGACGAGGCACUACGGUGCUGAAGCGACAAAUGCCCUGCUUCCAGGAAAAGCCUCUAAGCAUCAGGUAACAUCAAAUCGUACCCCAAACCGACACAGGUGGUCAGGUAGAGAAUACCAAGGCGCUUGAGAGAACUCGGGUGAAGGAACUAGGCAAAAUGGUGCCGUAACUUCGGGAGAAGGCACGCUGAUAUGUAGGUGAAGCGACUUGCUCGUGGAGCUGAAAUCAGUCGAAGAUACCAGCUGGCUGCAACUGUUUAUUAAAAACACAGCACUGUGCAAACACGAAAGUGGACGUAUACGGUGUGACGCCUGCCCGGUGCCGGAAGGUUAAUUGAUGGGGUUAGCGGUAACGCGAAGCUCUUGAUCGAAGCCCCGGUAAACGGCGGCCGUAACUAUAACGGUCCUAAGGUAGCGAAAUUCCUUGUCGGGUAAGUUCCGACCUGCACGAAUGGCGUAAUGAUGGCCAGGCUGUCUCCACCCGAGACUCAGUGAAAUUGAACUCGCUGUGAAGAUGCAGUGUACCCGCGGCAAGACGGAAAGACCCCGUGAACCUUUACUAUAGCUUGACACUGAACAUUGAGCCUUGAUGUGUAGGAUAGGUGGGAGGCUUUGAAGUGUGGACGCCAGUCUGCAUGGAGCCGACCUUGAAAUACCACCCUUUAAUGUUUGAUGUUCUAACGUUGGCCCCUUACCGGGGUUGCGGACAGUGUCUGGUGGGUAGUUUGACUGGGGCGGUCUCCUCCUAAAGAGUAACGGAGGAGCACGAAGGUUGGCUAAUCCUGGUCGGACAUCAGGAGGUUAGUGCAAUGGCAUAAGCCAGCUUGACUGCGAGCGUGACGGCGCGAGCAGGUGCGAAAGCAGGUCAUAGUGAUCCGGUGGUUCUGAAUGGAAGGGCCAUCGCUCAACGGAUAAAAGGUACUCCGGGGAUAACAGGCUGAUACCGCCCAAGAGUUCAUAUCGACGGCGGUGUUUGGCACCUCGAUGUCGGCUCAUCACAUCCUGGGGCUGAAGUAGGUCCCAAGGGUAUGGCUGUUCGCCAUUUAAAGUGGUACGCGAGCUGGGUUUAGAACGUCGUGAGACAGUUCGGUCCCUAUCUGCCGUGGGCGCUGGAGAACUGAGGGGGGCUGCUCCUAGUACGAGAGGACCGGAGUGGACGCAUCACUGGUGUUCGGGUUGUCAUGCCAAUGGCACUGCCCGGUAGCUAAAUGCGGAAGAGAUAAGUGCUGAAAGCAUCUAAGCACGAAACUUGCCCCGAGAUGAGUUCUCCCUGAGUCUUUGAGUGUCCUGAAGGAACGUUGAAGACGACGACGUUGAUAGGCCGGGUGUGUAAGCGCAGCGAUGCGUUGAGCUAACCGGUACUAAUGAACCGUGAGGCUUAACCUU